This is an RNA transcript of Echinops telfairi (small Madagascar hedgehog), 3416 nucleotides long. RefSeq lists it as uncharacterized. The record is from RefSeq and is a predicted model, not a curated record. The transcript is spliced from 5 exons. Lineage: Eukaryota; Metazoa; Chordata; Mammalia; Afrosoricida; Tenrecidae.
UAACACCUGGUUGAUUUCUUGCAAGGACGACUUGGUAGUCUUUUGGUUGGCUGGUUAAUUUUAAACUGCAGAGUCCCAAACUUUCAAUAGACACUGACUUGAAUCCUGGGGGGUUGGAGGGUCUGGGGAAGAAAGAGGCUGCUCAGGUAAGAAUGAACGAUUCCUUUCCACUUCACAGAAAAUCCCCUUAAUGCAAACCUCCCAGAUUGGGGGAAGAGAUGACUGCGGCGGAGUUGCAGUGUGUGGGGAAUGAGCGAAUCCUAAUCUCCAAGACCCCCACCCCACACCCGCUAGAGAUGACCCACUGAGGGAGCAGCCUUGGGGUGUGGUUGCCAAGCCCUGGGCUCAAAAUCCACCCCUCUCUCAACCCCCUUCACAGAGUGGUGUUCAAUCCUUCCUGGACACUUCCAAGCUCCAGUGCAGGGCCAGAAUUGGUACGUCCUUCCAUCCACCCGUCUCCUGGCUAGCCCAGGCCUGGAGGAGGCCGUUGGACCUGCAUCCUUCUCAGCUCUUUCUUCCGUGCUCCAGAAAGAUUUUAUUUUCCUUCUUCCAAGCUUCCUCUGGCUACAUCUAGAAAUAUCGAGCUCAGAAAAUGACCUGGACUUGCCCUAGAGGGUGCGGUCAACCAGUGGGGGGCAGGAAUCGGGCGUCGAAGCGAGACCUUCCUUCUGCAAAUCCGCCGCCCACCCUGCCCGCCUGUGUGACUGAGAGGGCGCAUGCCGCGAUCCCCCAGAGGGAGCGUUGGAUCGACCACCAGGCUGCGGCGCGACCCCAUCUAGGCUGCGCGGGGAAAUCGCCGCCGCCAUCAUCGCACCUCCUGAGACGUGGGCUCAGAGCGCGGAGGGAGCGCGGUCCGAAGGCGUCUCGCAGGGCCCAGCCGCGACGCUGAAAAGCAUGAAGGGUCGGAAUUAGGCGCUCAUGUAGCGAGCGUUACUAAUCCGAAAUUACAGCGCUAAUUCCCUGAUCCAGCCGCUCCCACACGCAGCGCCGGGAUUAGAGGUCGGCCCCGCCCCGCCCUCACACCCGCCGGGGCCCGCGCCCUCGCCUAAUCCGCUGCGCCGGCACAACUGGCCAGCUGGGUGUGACGGCCCGGAGGAGACCUGGCGGCGGGAGCAGGCUGACCUAGCGGGAUUUACGCGCCCUCCGGGGCCCAGUCGAGGCCACACGGUCUAGAAAACCGCAGAGAUUUCUCCCUCCGGGCUGUGCGUCCCCACCCGCGGGGCCAUUCCAAUAGCCUUCUUUCCCCCCUUGACAUCUCUAGCUCGAGGCCUGUAUGACCCGGUGUCUGUGCCCCCAUGCCGCCUGGACUCUGCCCCCUUCUUCCGCCAGCCUCGAUAGAAUGGCCAAUCAGCUCAGGCCUAGGGUGGGAUGCGCGUCACCAUGGCGACGACCAAGGACCGGGCAGUGACGCCCAUCUCUGAAGGGCGCUUCCCUCCUGGGCGCAGCUCCCGCCGUGCUUGGCGUCCUCGUCGCGGGACACUAGCUCAUCGUGGACACCGGCUAGGACAGCGCAUGGGGCCGCCUACAGCUGGAGGAGAGAGCCCACCUUUCAUGUGCUCCUGGCUCCGUUUCUGAGAUCCUCACCCUUUCUGGGAGGAACCACAGAGCCCGCGGCUUCCUGGGCACGAGAACCAACGGACUCCCUCACUGAGUUGAGCCGCCUUUUGUUUUCCUGGGAGCUUGCGGUCCCUCUGCUGCUGCUCAGAAAGAAGAAGACUUUAGGAGGCCCAUGAAAGACCGGUGUCCACUUGCUGCACGAGCCGGGGCUGGAGAAUCUUCUCCUCAUCACAGCCACGUACCUGAGGCCUGGAUGUUCAAGUGACUUUUCCCACAAGUUCAGCUCUGGACUCAAAGGAAAACCUGUCUCCCAAUUGCUGCAUUUGCUGCUCUCUGGACGCCUGGGAUGGCUUUUUACUUCAGUUCCUGUGAAGCCGCCAACUGCCCUGUGAAGUGUGAUGGAACAGCUUCUUCUGAAAACAGAAAACACGAGAGGCCAGGCGGACCUCGCCACGGUCGCAGGACUGGAAUGCUGGGCCAAGCUGCCCCGGACCUUGGGGAUCCUCACAGCGAAGGAGCUGCCUGUGCUCCCCACAGAAGUCACAGGAGCUGCUGUCCUGUGGCCACAGUCUCCAGAGUGCAACAUGGAGGAGGACCUGAACAGAGGGCAGCUCCCAUUCCUGCCCCUCUGGACUUGGCAGGGCAUCUGGGGACACUUGCCCCUCCCCACCAUGCAGAGGCUGUGGCCUUGGCCUGCUGCCUGAGCAGUCUGGGCCUCUGCAUCUCUGGCCCCAAUGAAUGACACCAGGUGUGGUGCUGGGACUCAGGGGCUAUGGACGCUCUGGCCAGACUGCCAGCAAAUGGCAGCUCUGCCCACCACAUUGGCAGCACCGAUGCCCCACCACAGGCAGCACCCUGGAGUCUGCUAAGGCAAGGGUUCCAGCCUUCUAGGAGUUAAGGAUGCCCUUCCCCAUCCAUCCUCCCCUUGGUGCUCCUCUUCCUCCCUCCUCCCACUGCUCACAGCAGGCAGGGCCCGGACCCCAGAGCCACUCUGCUGCGCUGUUGCCAGGGGAGCUGAGAGACAGAUCUGAGCUAUGCAGGGAAAAGGCCGGCCUGUCAGAGUGUCUGAGAUGAACCACCGCCGUCCCAGUACAGCUGGGCUCAGACGCGUCUGGGCUCUUGUUCUGUGCCUGAGAAGGGCGAAGCCCAGUGAGGUUCAAGGGCAAACUUGCUAUUCAUUAGUCAGGGGUCCUUGAAGUCCAAUCUCCCCGGAGGAUGGGUCCCCUCUCCUUUUCUCUCCCUCCUGUGACACAUUCCUGGUUGUCUCCUCCUCCUUCUGCCCAAGCCCCUCUCCCCAGGCCCCUGAAUAAACUUCCCCCAAGGAGACCAAGAAGGGCAGAGACAAUGGCAGUGGGAAACCAGGCAGGGGCCCAGCCUGUUCUCUACUCCCAGCACCCCUGAGCGCCCCUCUCCGCUUGGACUUCCAUACACCAGCGCCACCAGCCCGCUGGGCACUGCCUGGACUCCAGGCCAGUCUGAUGUCAUCCUUGGUCAGCUCUAGGGCCACGCCUCUGUGGCCUGUAUUUGACCAUCCCAGGUCUGUUUCAGGACACUCUGACCCUGCUAGUUGAAGAGAGCACAUUGUGCAAUGUUUUCAAAAACACCUCAUUGUCAAAAUGCAAAGAGACCACUAGGAUAUCCCUCCACAGUGGUAUUUGUAACGCUUCCCAAAGAAGCAUGCAUAAGGAUAUUCAUUGACUAGAGCUGUUUUUCCACCAUGUUGGAAUUGGACUGCUGGCCCAUUCAUCCUGUGGAAUGCUGUGUACCUGGGAAAAGUGAUGUGGUCGCUCUGAGCCAGCCAGUAAGGAAGGUGGGCAGGUUACACAGAGAGAUGAGUCAAAUAAACAGGCAAAGUCUGA